AGAGUUUGAUCAUGGCUCAGAACGAACGCUGGCGGCAUGCCUAACACAUGCAAGUCGAACGUGAUCCAGGCUUCGGUCUGGUGAAAGUGGCAGACGGGUGAGUAACGCGUGGGAACCUGCCCUGUGGUUGGGAAUAACUGCGGGAAACUGCGGCUAAUACCCUAUGUGUCCUGAGGGAGAAAGAUUUAUCGCCAUAGGAGGGGCCCGCGUCGGAUUAGGUAGUUGGUGGGGUAACGGCCUACCAAGCCAUCGAUCCGUAGCUGGUCUGAGAGGAUGAUCAGCCACACUGGGACUGAGAUACGGCCCAGACUCCUACGGGAGGCAGCAGUGGGGAAUAUUGGACAAUGGGGGCAACCCUGAUCCAGCAAUGCCGCGUGGGUGAUGAAGGCCUUCGGGUUGUAAAGCCCUUUCGGCGGGGAAGAUGAUGACGGUACCCGCAGAAGAAGCCCCGGCUAACUUCGUGCCAGCAGCCGCGGUAAUACGAAGGGGGGCUAGCGUUGUUCGGAAUUACUGGGCGUAAAGGGCGCGUAGGCUGUGCUGCAAGUCAGGCGUGAAAGGCCCGGGCUCAACCUGGGAACUGCGCAUGAUACUGCGGCGCUUGAAGGCGGGAGAGGAUGGCGGAAUUCCCAGUGUAGAGGUGAAAUUCGUAGAUAUUGGGAAGAACACCGGUGGCGAAGGCGGCCAUCUGGCCCGUGAUUGACGCUGAGGCGCGAAAGCGUGGGGAGCAAACAGGAUUAGAUACCCCCGUAGUCC
Molecule: ribosomal RNA, 753 nt
Filed under: uncultured bacterium
Lineage: Bacteria
Description: bacterial SSU rRNA
Rfam family: Bacterial small subunit ribosomal RNA
Source: RNAcentral